GAUAUUGAUUAUCACAUUGCUCUUCAUGUUGCCGCGUGUGAGGGAUUCACUGAGGUCGAUGAGUUUUUGCUCCAGAAAGUUGCCGAAGUUGACGCCAAGGAUCGAUGGGGAAGCACGGGAUGAUGUUGUUGUUGAAGAUGAAACUAAUGGCGAGUUUCUAUUGUAUCUUCAUAUUUGGAUAUAGUUUAUGAUCCUGAUUCAGGUUCUGACUUUGAAGAUACUAGGUAAAAUGAACAUUGCUGCAUGGGCUAGCAAAGAAGAUGAGGAUAAGGAUGCAUCCACUUCCUUGAAAACAAAAGCAGAAGCACCUAAGAGUGUCAUUGAAGCACGUGCAAUAGCAUGGGAGGAAGCUGAGAAGGCCAAGUAUAUGGCUAGGUCAGUUCAUACUGAUUAUUGAUGUUAACAUUAUCUGUAACUUCUGUUGCUUUAGAGAUGUAAAUCCAUUAACAUGCCCAAUUAUUCAUAAUUAAAUUAAAUUUCAUCAAGUAAAGGGUGCUGCCCAAAUAAAUCUUGCAUGA
Non-coding RNA from Cajanus cajan (pigeon pea), 518 nucleotides. The record is from RefSeq and is a predicted model, not a curated record. NCBI's taxonomy places the organism in Eukaryota, Viridiplantae, Streptophyta, Magnoliopsida, Fabales, Fabaceae.